Triticum aestivum (bread wheat) is the source of this 828-nucleotide long non-coding RNA. RefSeq lists it as uncharacterized. The transcript is spliced from 2 exons. NCBI's taxonomy places the organism in Eukaryota, Viridiplantae, Streptophyta, Magnoliopsida, Poales, Poaceae. The record is from RefSeq and is a predicted model, not a curated record.
GGAAUGGGCAAGAGAAAAAUAAAAAGCCCAAUAUGACCCAUAUGUGGCUAGCCCACGAAGAAACGCACGCAGCUGUUCGGGCCACUGCUCGUCCUUUGACCUCGCUCCCUAAUUCUUCUGUCAUCUCGCCGCCACGGCUAGCUUCCUGCCUCUCGCGUGCUCGCUGACCUCGUCGGACGCCGUCCCUGCCUACCUCGCCGUCCCAGGAGUGGAGGAGACGAUUUCUUCUCUGUUUGCCCCGCCCAGCGCUCGGAGUCUCCGUGCAUCUGCGGUUACCACCGCCCUGCGUGUCUGUGCCCCUGCCCAGGUGCGGCAAGCCAGUAGCCGGCAGUGCCCCAUUGCCUGGCGGGCGGUGGCUGGUACCCCUGCAAUCCAGAGCCGCCAGACUAAUCUGCAAUUUGCCACUGUACAAAUUUUCGAUCUGAGAAGUAUUGAAGAAUGAAGAGGACAUGAAACAUCUCUUUUUUCAGAGACAUGCUAUGAACAUAUAGGAAGAAGGCUAGUAUGCCGGAUGUGGCCGAUGCAGAAGAACUAAGCGGAGAACUUGUGGUAGAAAUAAAAACUCAUGAACCAGCAAUGUCUAUGCCGGAUGUGACGAUAGAGCAAGAUCACAUACAUCCAAGGCGAAUGAAGAAGAUAUAAUGUAUUCUUUCAUGGCAAUGCAAAAAGGGUAGGCCAGAAACAUAGUAUUCUUUGAACUUCUCAAGGUAUGUGGUAUGGAACUUGUUGGCUGAAAGAUACUUUGCGUCCUUCUUUUAUGCAAAACUAAGACUUAAUUGAGAAUUCUCAUAAGUUUGUAAGACUUAAUUGUCAAAAAAAUUUGGACCA